Molecule: non-coding RNA, 742 nt
Organism: Neolamprologus brichardi
Lineage: Eukaryota; Metazoa; Chordata; Actinopteri; Cichliformes; Cichlidae
Source: RefSeq, a predicted model, not a curated record
UUUUUCUUCUUUUCUUUUCUUUUCUAGACUAUGUUCUGGGGUGUGUAAAUGGAAUAGGAAGAGAUUACAGAGGAAGAAAGUCCAGAACAAACUCAGGAAAGAUCUGUCAAAGAUGGGACUCAAGCUACCCACACAGGCCAAAUUUCACGCCGCAGAGCCACCCACAAGCAGAGCUUUACUCCAACUUCUGCAGAAACCCUGAUGGGGACAGCAAUGGACCAUGGUGUUACACUACGGAUCCUAAUGCCCGCUGGGAGCACUGCAACGUACCUAGUUGCUCUGGGUGACAGAGGUGGUCCUCUGGUUUGUUAUGAGCAGAACAGGUUUGUCCUUCAGGGUGUCACAACAUGGGCUGAGGGAUGUAUGUUGGGCAGGACGCCCAGUGUCUACACUCAAGUUUCUAAGUUUGUGGACUGGAUCGAUGCAACCAAAGCCAACUAAAAGCUAUCAGCCGUAAUACCGUUGUUGAGGAUGUCUUAACAUGUAUACUUUGUUCUGCUCUGACGUGAACAUUUUUAUCAAGUAUUUUUUAUUAAGUAUGGAUACACAUUAAGUAGUGCAUGAAAAUCACAAAUUCUGCUAGAGAAGAAAAAUACAAGUUAAACAAAAUCAGAAAAUCACACUUUAUACAAGAUGAUUUUGAGUGAAAUAAAAAGUGGCUAUACAGUUAUUUAUCUGUUCUGAUUUUAAAAAAAAAGAUUCUAUUUAUUAUGUUAUAUUAUAAUAUUUGGUGAUUGACAAA